RNAcentral lists this transfer RNA (64 nucleotides) under Dinothenarus chrysocomus. RNAcentral describes it as "tRNA-Pro". The record is from RNAcentral. Lineage: Eukaryota; Metazoa; Arthropoda; Insecta; Coleoptera; Staphylinidae.
CAGAGAAUAGUUUAUAAAAAUAUUAAUUUUGGAGAUUAAAGAUGGAAGCAAAUUCUUUCUCUGA